Molecule: non-coding RNA, 46 nt
Organism: Bos taurus (domestic cattle)
Lineage: Eukaryota; Metazoa; Chordata; Mammalia; Artiodactyla; Bovidae
Source: Rfam
CCACAGGCUCUUUUAAGAGCCAUGCCAACAUCCUCUAAUAAAAACU